CAGUCGCCGCGGGAAUACGGAGGGUGCAAGCGUUAAUCGGAAUUACUGGGCGUAAAGCGCACGCAGGCGGUUUGUUAAGUCAGAUGUGAAAUCCCCGAGCUUAGCUUGGGAACUGCAUUUGAAACUGGCAAGCUAGAGUGUGUCAGAGGAUGGUGGAAUUCCCGGUGUAGCGGUGAAAUGCGUAGAGAUCGGGAGGAACAUCAGUGGCGAAGGCGGCCAUCUGGGACAACACUGACGCUGAGGCACGAAAGCGUGGGGAGCAAACAGGAUUAGAUACCCCUGAGUCCCUGUCUCUUAUACA
Molecule: ribosomal RNA, 301 nt
Filed under: uncultured bacterium
Lineage: Bacteria
Description: partial 16S ribosomal RNA
Rfam family: Bacterial small subunit ribosomal RNA
Source: RNAcentral